GGGUCUGUGGCGCAGCCAGGUAGCGCACCGGCCUUUUAAGCCGGUUGUCGUGGGUCCGAAUCCCACUAGACCCGCAA
RNAcentral lists this transfer RNA (77 nucleotides) under Nitrosopumilales archaeon. Its description in RNAcentral is "tRNA-Lys". It matches the Rfam family "tRNA". From Rfam's summary of the family: Transfer RNA (tRNA) molecules are approximately 80 nucleotides in length. Their secondary structure includes four short double-helical elements and three loops (D, anti-codon, and T loops). Further hydrogen bonds mediate the characteristic L-shaped molecular structure. tRNAs have two regions of fundamental functional importance: the anti-codon, which is responsible for specific mRNA codon recognition, and the 3' end, to which the tRNAs corresponding amino acid is attached (by aminoacyl-tRNA synthetases). tRNAs cope with the degeneracy of the genetic code in two manners: having more than one tRNA (with a specific anti-codon) for a particular amino acid; and 'wobble' base-pairing, i.e. permitting non-standard base-pairing at the 3rd anti-codon position. The record is from RNAcentral. Lineage: Archaea; Thermoproteati; Nitrososphaerota; Nitrososphaeria; Nitrosopumilales.